CACGUAGGGAGCAAGCGUUGUCCGGAUUUAUUGGGCGUAAAGAGCUCGUAGGUGGUUCAGUAAGUCGGAUGUGAAAACUCAAGGCUCAACCUUGAGACGCCAUCCGAUACUGCUGUGACUUGAGUUCGGUAGAGGAGUGUGGAAUUCCUGGUGUAGCGGUGAAAUGCGCAGAUAUCAGGAGGAACACCGACAGCGAAGGC
This 200-nucleotide ribosomal RNA is filed under the name uncultured bacterium. RNAcentral describes it as "partial 16S ribosomal RNA". It matches the Rfam family "Bacterial small subunit ribosomal RNA", at positions 524 to 722 of the family's 1533-position model. The record is from RNAcentral.